This 301-nucleotide ribosomal RNA is filed under the name uncultured bacterium. RNAcentral's name for it is "partial 16S ribosomal RNA". It matches the Rfam family "Bacterial small subunit ribosomal RNA", at positions 509 to 807 of the family's 1533-position model. The record is from RNAcentral.
CAGUAGCCACGGUAAAACGUAGGUGGCAAGCGUUGUCCGGAAUUAUUGGGCGUAAAGGGCUCGCAGGCGGUUUCUUAAGUCUGAUGUGAAAGCCCCCGGCUCAACCGGGGAGGGUCAUUGGAAACUGGGAAACUUGAGUGCAGAAGAGGAGAGUGGAAUUCCACGUGUAGCGGUGAAAUGCGUAGAGGUGUGGAGGAACACCAGUGGCGAAGGCGACUCUCUGGUCUGUAACUGACGCUGAGGAGCGAAAGCGUGGGGAGCGAACAGGAUUAGAUACCCCAGUAGUCCCUGUCUCUUAUAC